CAUACCUAUUCGAAGGGAUAGGGUCGGCUCGGCCGGAUUUUACACAAGUGUUGCAUGGCUGUCGUCAGCUCGUGUCGUGAGAUGUUGGGUUAAGUCCCGCAACGAACGCAACCCUCAUCCUUAGUUGCCAUCAGGUAAUGCUGAGUACUUUAAGGAAACUGCCAGUGAUAAGCUGGAGGAAGGUGGGGAUGAUGUCAAGUCAUCAUGGCCUUUAUGGAGUGGGCUACACACGUGCUACAAUGGUGUCUACAAUGGGUUGCAAGGUGCGCAAGCCUAAGCUAAUCCCUAAAAGACAUCUCAGUUCGGAUUGUACUCUGCAACUCGAGUACAUGAAGUUGGAAUCGCUAGUAAUCGUGGAUCAGCAUGCCACGGUGAAUACGUUCUCGGGUCUUGUACACAUUGCCCGUCACGCCAUGGGAAUUGGUUUCACUCGAAGCU
This 438-nucleotide ribosomal RNA is filed under the name Wolbachia endosymbiont of Aphis gossypii. RNAcentral's name for it is "bacterial SSU rRNA". It matches the Rfam family "Bacterial small subunit ribosomal RNA", at positions 992 to 1428 of the family's 1533-position model. The record is from RNAcentral. Lineage: Bacteria; Pseudomonadati; Pseudomonadota; Alphaproteobacteria; Rickettsiales; Anaplasmataceae.